This 465-nucleotide ribosomal RNA is filed under the name Alcaligenes faecalis. RNAcentral's name for it is "bacterial SSU rRNA". It matches the Rfam family "Bacterial small subunit ribosomal RNA", at positions 907 to 1368 of the family's 1533-position model. The record is from RNAcentral. Lineage: Bacteria; Pseudomonadati; Pseudomonadota; Betaproteobacteria; Burkholderiales; Alcaligenaceae.
AGAGAAUUGAACGGCGGCCCCGCACAACGCGGGUGGAUGAUGUGAAUUAAUUCGAUGCAAACGCGAAAAACCUUACCUACCCUUGACAUGUCUGGAAAGCCGAAGAGAUUUGGCCGUGCUCGCAAGAGAACCGGAACACAGGUGCUGCAUGGCUGUCGUCAGCUCGUGUCGUGAAUGUUGGGUUAAGUCCCGCAACGAGCGCAACCCUUGUCAUUAGUUGCUACGCAAGAGCACUCUAAUGAGACUGCCGGUGACAAACCGGAGGAAGGUGGGGAUGACGUCAAGUCCUCAUGGCCCUUAUGGGUAGGGCUUCACACGUCAUACAAUGGUCGGGACAGAGGGUCGCCAACCCGCGAGGGGGAGCCAAUCUCAGAAACCCGAUCGUAGUCCGGAUCGCAGUCUGCAACUCGACUGCGUGAAGUCGGAAUCGCUAGUAAUCGCGAUCAGAAGACGUCGGAACGCAAA